Molecule: ribosomal RNA, 368 nt
Filed under: uncultured eukaryote
Lineage: Eukaryota
Description: partial 18S ribosomal RNA
Rfam family: Eukaryotic small subunit ribosomal RNA
Source: RNAcentral
CAAUAGCGUAUAUUAACGUUGUUGCAGUUAAAAAGCUCGUAGUUGGAUUUCUGGAGGGAGCGUCGGCCCGUAUUUACGAGUGCGUGACGUCUCUGUCCAUCCUUGCGGGAAGGCACGGCAUUGAUUUGUUGUGUCGGAUCGCAUCAUUUACUGUGAAAAAAUUAGAGUGUUCAAAGCAGGCCUUCGCCUUGAAUACAUUAGCAUGGAAUAAUAAGAUAGGACUUUGGUCUAUUUUGUUGGUUUGCAGACCGAAGUAAUGAUUAAUAGGGAUAGUUGGGGGUAUUUAUAUUCCGAUGUCAGAGGUGAAAUUCUUAGAUUUUCGGAAGAUAAACUUAUGCGAAAGCAUUUACCAAGGAUGUUUUCAUUAA